RNAcentral lists this transfer RNA (72 nucleotides) under Camelus ferus (Wild Bactrian camel). It matches the Rfam family "tRNA". Rfam says of the family: Transfer RNA (tRNA) molecules are approximately 80 nucleotides in length. Their secondary structure includes four short double-helical elements and three loops (D, anti-codon, and T loops). Lineage: Eukaryota; Metazoa; Chordata; Mammalia; Artiodactyla; Camelidae. The record is from Rfam by way of RNAcentral.
AAGGGUAUAGCUCAGUGGUAGAGCACAUGCUUAGCAUACAUGAGGUCCUGGGUUCAAUUCCCAGUAUCUCCA